GACGAACGCUGGCGGCGUGCUUAACACAUGCAAGUCGAACGGAAAGGCCCUGCUUUUGUGGGGUGCUCGAGUGGCGAACGGGUGAGUAACACGUGAGUAACCUGCCCUUGACUUUGGGAUAACUUCAGGAAACUGGGGCUAAUACCGGAUAGGAGCUCCUGCUGCAUGGUGGGGGUUGGAAAGUUUCGGCGGUUGGGGAUGGACUCGCGGCUUAUCAGCUUGUUGGUGGGGUAGUGGCUUACCAAGGCUUUGACGGGUAGCCGGCCUGAGAGGGGGACCGGACACACUAGGACUGAGCUAAGGCACAGACUCCUACGGGAGGCAGCAGUGGGGAGUAUUGUACAAUGGGAGGAAGCCUGAUGUAGCAACGCCGCGUGGGGGAUGACGGGCUGCGGGUUGUAAACCGCUGUCGCCUGUGACGAAGCGUGAGUGACGGUAACGGGUAAAGAAGCACCGGCUAACUACGUG
This 468-nucleotide ribosomal RNA is filed under the name uncultured bacterium. RNAcentral describes it as "partial 16S ribosomal RNA". It matches the Rfam family "Bacterial small subunit ribosomal RNA", at positions 28 to 507 of the family's 1533-position model. The record is from RNAcentral.